This 490-nucleotide ribosomal RNA is filed under the name Phascolosoma scolops. RNAcentral's name for it is "partial 16S ribosomal RNA". It matches the Rfam family "Bacterial large subunit ribosomal RNA", at positions 1818 to 2598 of the family's 2925-position model. Lineage: Eukaryota; Metazoa; Annelida; Sipuncula; Phascolosomatiformes; Phascolosomatidae. The record is from RNAcentral.
GUCUUCUAGCCAAACUUAUUAGAAGUCCGGCCUGCCCGGUGAGAAUUUAAACGGCCGCGGUAGCCUGACCGUGCUAAGGUAGCGCAAUCACUUGCCCUUUAAUUGGGGGCUAGUAUGAAUGGCCAGACAAGGGCUUAACUGUCUCAAAGAUUUACCUGAAAAUUGACCUUUAGGUGCAGAGGCCUAAAUAUUAGUGAAAGACAAGAAGACCCUAUCGAGCUUUAAUUUUUUUUAUUUUUAUAUAAAUAAAAUGAAUUUUUAUUGGGGCAAUAAAGGAGCAUACAAAGCCUCCUUUUAUUAGACCAGUUAAACAGAAUAACAGUAGAAACAUUUUAAAAUGCUCAUAGACACAAGCUACCGUAGGGAUAACAGACUAAUUUUCCUUGAGAGUCCACAUUGACAGGAAAGUUUGGCACCUCGAUGUUGGCUUAAAAAACAGUUACGAAGCAGCACUCUAACCCUGUAGGUUUGUUCAACCUUUAAAACUUUA